UAUCGUGCUUCUCAUUUCGCUAAUUUCUUUCAAUGCCGCUGUUACGGAGGCUACAUCAGUCUCGAUUUUGUCUAUGCGGCUAGUUAUGUCAAGCAAAGCAGUCUCAGUUGUUUCUUGUUUUGUUUUAAUGGCUGCAGUGUCAUUAAAGAGUUUGGCUUGACCUGCGCUUAGGGCGGGCAAAAUGGAUACCACUUCAAGUAAUUGCUGAAGUUUGGCGUCAGUCGAGGGGCCUCGGUUAAGCUCAACAUCACCGGCACUCACAAGCAGAAUUGUGUCGAGGCUAUCCAUGACGUUCCCGAGCGAUGGUGCAGUUCGUUUUCACCGAGGGCGUUCAUGUGGACGAGCAGUAUCCAAGGGCAGCAGGCAGUCGUCGUUUCCGUUCCAGAGAAAGUCAAUGCCUGCGUCUCCUGCCGCUGAUGCACACGCGAACAGCUGUAUAACGAAAACAAGAGGUCUGUAAGAUGUCAUUGUCCUCGUGCCCACUGCCGGAGGCCACAAACUGGCCGCUCAGUUUCUCAUUUGCAUGCGCUCUUUAAUUAAAUAAACAUCCUGACUAUUUUGUUUUACUUCGCCGGGCUUUGGUACCUGUGUCGUAGCAAUGGUCACUCUGAGACAGUGCGAAACCAGUAAAAAUAUAGCUUCGACUUUUAGUGAUUUUUUCGAGUAAUUAACUGGUUUCGGUUUAGAAAUUUCUUGCACGGAACAGUGCAGGAAUGCGCUCAAAUUCGUGUUCAUCCGCUUGCAUUGGUGGCGGGGAGCCGCAACGCAAGGAACAGCCGCGAGCGAGGGUUUGAUAUGCCUUCUCGUUUUCCACUAAACUCGUAAACAGGAUUGCGGUCGUGUUACUGGAUGAGGCAGACAGUGCGCCAUUACCGCUAUAAUGACAAGCAUGUCACAAAGCGAAAUGGGCCGGCGAGUCGUCGAAUAACCAGCAAACGGUUUAUUAAACUACUUGGUAGCAAAAACACAAGAGUGAUAGCUCUCUGAACACAACUGAGUCCAAAGAAUGAAUGGUGCGCGCCCGGAUAUGCAUUUAAGCAUAUGCAUAAGCAUUUAAGCAUAUUUAGCGCAUAUGCAUUUAAGCGUCACGCCGAAAACCCCAGAAACAGCACGCGCGUUUGCCAGAGAGCAGGCGAUGUGUAGCCCGCCAUACGAUGUGUCUGGAAUCUUCUUGCUUCUUCUUCAGCACGCGCCGGGAUUAGAUGUACCAUUUCGUUCCUGCCCUGGAAGUUUCUCGAAGACGAUUAGCGAGCGAUGCUUCCCAGAAGCCUUCGCUCGCACCAAUCUCAUUGACGGAUCGACGACCUUGGAGAAGCUUCUCUACUUCCUCUUCUUCGCCGACGCACGCUUUCUACAAUGUUCGCCGCUGUGUAUAAAAGCUUGUGAGCUCCCAGUCGGAGCAUUCUUUACCUUUGUUCUGUCUAAGAGCUACCGCUCUUGUGUUAGACAGCUAAGCAGCUAGAAUAAAGCGUUCGCCGAUGA
This is a long non-coding RNA of Ornithodoros turicata, 1482 nucleotides long. RefSeq lists it as uncharacterized. The transcript has 2 exons. The record is from RefSeq and is a predicted model, not a curated record. NCBI's taxonomy places the organism in Eukaryota, Metazoa, Arthropoda, Arachnida, Ixodida, Argasidae.